This 608-nucleotide non-coding RNA is filed under the name Thymelaea hirsuta. RNAcentral's name for it is "partial transfer RNA-Leu(UAA)". The stretch from base 1 to 194 matches the Rfam family "Group I catalytic intron", at positions 6 to 158 of the family's 253-position model. Lineage: Eukaryota; Viridiplantae; Streptophyta; Magnoliopsida; Malvales; Thymelaeaceae. The record is from RNAcentral.
GACUUAAUUGGAUUGAGCCUUGGUAUGGAAACCUACUAAGUGAGAACUUUCAAAUUCAGAGAAACCCUGGAAUUAAAAAUGGGCAAUCCUGAGCCAAAUCCUGUUUUACGAAAAUAAAAAAAUAAAUAAGGGUUCGUAAAGAAAGAAUUUCAAUACAAUCAAAAAGGGAUAGGUGCAGAGACUCAAUGGAAGCUGUUCUAACAAAUGGGGUUUGACUACCUUUGCGUUAGUAAAGGAAUCCUUCUAUCGAAACUACAGAAAGGAUAAGAAAAACCUAUACGCAUACCUAAAGGUAAUAAAAAAAAACUAUCUAAAAAAAAAAACGACCCAAACCCGUAUUUAUCUAUUUUUUUCUGAACAAUACAAAGAAUUGUUGUGAAUUCUCGUAUUGAUUCCAAAUUGAAGAAGGAAUCAAAUACAAUAUUCAUUAAUAAAAUAAUUUACCCCAUAGUUUGAGAAAUCUUUUGAACAACUGGUUAAUCGGACGAGAAUAAAGAUAGAGUCCCGUUCUACAUGUCAAUAUAAAUGCUGACAACAAUGAAAUUUAUAGUAAGAGGAAAAUCCGUCGACUUUUAAAAUCGUGAGGGUUCAAGUCCCUCUAUCCCCAA